This is a long non-coding RNA of Alosa sapidissima (American shad), 440 nucleotides long. RefSeq lists it as uncharacterized. The transcript has 3 exons. NCBI's taxonomy places the organism in Eukaryota, Metazoa, Chordata, Actinopteri, Clupeiformes, Clupeidae. The record is from RefSeq and is a predicted model, not a curated record.
UAUGCGGACGGUGGAGAAGAAGAGGAGCCAGAAGAGGCAGAGGAUGGGGGCGGCCCACCACCUGGUUGACGGCUCCCGAGUGGAUCUUCUUGUCCAGCUUGGAGGGCAGAUACAGACAACGCAAGCAAGACAAAGUUCACAAAUCUAGAAUGUGACAGACAGUAAAAGACGACCGUGACGGUGAAAAAGACAAACGGACAGAAUCAAUCAUUCAAGCAGAAGCCAUCAAUUGUAAAAAAAGUGUCGGAUAAAUCUCAUCACGUCCACGAGUGUGCCCGGUGGGAACUAAUUCAUGUGAAAACGCAGAACGAUGAACAUACAUCGGUCUGUACAAUUAUAUUUUCCUGCAUACUGGCAUAUUCAAAGGACCGACACACACACACACACACACACACACACACGCACACGCACGACAAAUGACGAGCAUAUUCCUGUGAUGG